CAACCCUCAAGCGUGGCUUGGCGUUGGGCGCGGCCUGUGCCUGCCCCAAAGACAGUGGCGGCGCCGUCGAGCCCCGAGCGUGGUACGUCUUCCGCUCCGGGGCUCUACGGUGGCCUGCCAGCACCUCAGCUCCUAC
This 136-nucleotide unclassified non-coding RNA is filed under the name uncultured Leotiomycetes. RNAcentral describes it as "sequence contains ITS2". Lineage: Eukaryota; Fungi; Ascomycota; Leotiomycetes. The record is from RNAcentral.